This 874-nucleotide unclassified non-coding RNA is filed under the name Hevea brasiliensis (rubber tree). The record is from RNAcentral. Lineage: Eukaryota; Viridiplantae; Streptophyta; Magnoliopsida; Malpighiales; Euphorbiaceae.
AAUUUCCGCGAAUUGAGGAUACCUGUCAUAACUGGAACCAUUGAGUGGAAUGAUAACCAUCUCUUCCUGGGAUAUCCUAAGCUUAGGUGCUCGCAAAAUAUAGCGAAGAUCUGCAGCUUGUCGUUGGAUAUUGAGAUUGGGCUGCUGCUUCUCCAAUUGCUGGUAAAGAGCAAUGCAGUUUGUGAUCGAAAUAUGGUGAAGUGUGCCUAGAAGACGUCGUUAUUGGUCAUCAGAAAUCCAAUCUCAAAGUGAGCCUUGGAUUGAUUGAGUGCGGCUUCAAGAAAGUCAAUGGCUCAUGCGUACAUGCCCUUUGUCAGUCAAUGAAAUAAAGACGACACUUUUUUUCAAAGACGAUCGAUUUUGUAUGGAUAAAGAAGGAACCUUUUCGAGCUCUUUUCUCACUCUCAUCUUCUUCUCUACUUCAUCCUCCUAUCUAUCCUCACUUUCGCUAUCCUCCACUUUGUUUAGCAACUCCUCGGCCUUCUUCUCUAACUCUCUCAUCUCCUCAAUCACCUUCACUCUCGUUCUCCCAAUCAAAUUCCUCUUCUUCCCCUACUCCAUUCCCAUUCCCAUUCCCGUUCUCUUCAUCGCUAUCGAAAUCCACGCCAUUCACUUUUGAAUUCGCUUUUCCUCUAGCCACCACUCGCUGUCUCCUAGCUUCGCCGUCCGAUUUGAAGCUCUUAUCUGCCAGAGAAGUAGCGUAGGAUUGAGGAUCCCUCAUCGGAAGCUUCAAAACAAAGUCUACAACUACCGGUUGGGUCUUCCGAUCCUGAAUUACAGGCCAAGGUGAGGCCAAGGCUAGAAAUAAAGCUAAAUUUCCAACAACCCCGGCCAUGUUGGCGUUGCCGGGGAACAGACGAAGAGAGAGGAUAAG